AACGAACGCUGGCGGCAUGCCUAACACAUGCAAGUCGAACGAGACCUUCGAGUCUAGUGGCGCACGGGUGCGUAACGCGUGGGAACCUGCCCUUAGGUUCGGAAUAACUCCCCGAAAGGGGUGCUAAUACCGGAUAAUGUCUUCGGACCAAAGAUUUAUCGCCUUUGGAUGGGCCCGCGUUGGAUUAGCUAGUUGGUAGGGUAAAAGCCUACCAAGGCGACGAUCCAUAGCUGGUCUGAGAGGAUGAUCAACCACACUGGGACUGAGACACGGCCCAGACUCCUACGGGAGGCAGCAGUGGGGAAUAUUGGACAAUGGGCGAAAGCCUGAUCCAGCAAUGCCGCGUGAGUGAUGAAGGCCUUAGGGUUGUAAAGCUCUUUUACCCGGGAUGAUAAUGACAGUACCGGGAGAAUAAGCUCCGGCUAACUCCGUG
This 433-nucleotide ribosomal RNA is filed under the name uncultured bacterium. RNAcentral describes it as "partial 16S ribosomal RNA". It matches the Rfam family "Bacterial small subunit ribosomal RNA", at positions 29 to 507 of the family's 1533-position model. The record is from RNAcentral.